Molecule: long non-coding RNA, 315 nt
Filed under: Trifolium pratense (red clover)
Lineage: Eukaryota; Viridiplantae; Streptophyta; Magnoliopsida; Fabales; Fabaceae
Description: long non-coding RNA (TPRA_LNC001462)
Source: RNAcentral
UGAUACCACUUUGUUGGUGGUAUUCUAGAGGUGGUAUAUAUUAUAAACUAUAUUGUUGCAUAAUUUAGAGUAGGAUAGUAUUUUUGGGGCUGAAUAUUCAUGUAUUUUUCUUAUUUUAAAUGCAUCUCAUACACAUGAAUAUAUAUAGCAUGAGUAGUGAUGGUUACAACUAUCAAAGAGUCACCACUACUAGGUGCUUAAUCAAUGAUUAAACACUCCACUAAGCACUAAGUGCUUCCACUAAUAACAAUGACAAUUCACUCAUGUAACUCUUCACUUACACUAGAUAAUUUCCACUACCUUAUCAUGUUCCAC